Molecule: non-coding RNA, 89 nt
Organism: Talaromyces proteolyticus
Lineage: Eukaryota; Fungi; Ascomycota; Eurotiomycetes; Eurotiales; Trichocomaceae
Source: the annotation of a RefSeq genome assembly
CCCCCGAUGGUGUAGUUGGAUAUCACGCCGGGCUGUAAUAUUACCGUAUUGGAACCUGGAGGCCACCGGCUCGACUCCGGUUCGGGGGA